Molecule: long non-coding RNA, 722 nt
Filed under: Homo sapiens (human)
Lineage: Eukaryota; Metazoa; Chordata; Mammalia; Primates; Hominidae
Description: HSALNT0305351
Source: RNAcentral
GUGUCUCUUUCCCCACAGAUGUAACCAGGUUCCUGUGGAGGACACGGCUUUGCUAAGCCUGCCUGGCUUCUGUGUCCUCCUCUGGGCCUGAGUGCAGAGGGUGAGAGUCCACAUCCCCAGAACCAUGGGGACUGAACAGGAUUACUACAGAGCAGCAAAGAAGUGGGGCACCAAAGGAAAGAGUACACAACACCUUGUGAACACAGAAUUCUGGUGGACCCAGAAUAUGUGGGAGUUCAGUGAGACUUAAAGAGGAAAAGAUUUCUGCCUACACCAGGCCAGACAUCAAGGGAAAACAAUUAUCACAAAGACCUACGUGUGAACUAAUGCAAGCAGCUAAUGCCAAGCCUAACAUGCUCCAUAUGUGUUAGAAGUUUUAAGGUGAAGAAAAGAACUGGCCUUUUUCUUCCUUUAGCCCUGUGAGACAGACAUUCUGCACUUAAAUUAUCAGCCACAGGGCAUCCGUGGCUGGGAAUCCAAACAGAUGCUAAUGAAUUUGGAACAACAUUUAAGUGGCUGAACAAAAAUGGAUCCUAAACACCCCCAAAUCAAGUGCAACAAACAAGAAAUAGGCUGACACAUUUCUAUCAGGAAGGCAACCAGAAUGUCAAACUCUUGAAUGAUACUGGGUGAUCUCAGCUCUGUUUUAUCAUCUCAGUAAAUAAAUCUAGAGAUGAUAAACAACCAUAAAUACCUGCAACAAAUGCUCCAUAAAAACCAAA